CCUACGGGAGGCAGCAGUGAGGAAUAUUGGUCAAUGGCCGGAAGUCUGAACCAGCCAAGCCGCGUGAAGGACGAAGGUGCCAAGCAUUGUAAACUUCUUUUGUCAAGGGACAAAAUCAGGCUCGAGAGCCUGACCGAGGGUACUUGAAGAAAAAGCAUCGGCUAACUCCGUGCCAGCAGCCGCGGUAAUACGGAGGAUGCGAGCGUUAUCCGGAUUUAUUGGGUUUAAAGGGGGCGUAGGCGGACUGUUAAGUCAGCGGUAAAAGCACGGGGCUCAACCCCGGCGAGCCGUUGAUACUGGCUGUCUUGAGAUGUCGAGAGGUAUGCGGAAUGCGCAGUGUAGCGGUGAAAUGCUUAGAUAUUGCGAAGAACUCCGAUUGCGAAGGCAGCAUACCGGCGGCGAUCUGACGCUGAGGCACGAAAGCGUGGGUAUCGAACAGGAUUAGAUACCCGUGUAGUC
This 459-nucleotide ribosomal RNA is filed under the name uncultured bacterium. RNAcentral's name for it is "partial 16S ribosomal RNA". It matches the Rfam family "Bacterial small subunit ribosomal RNA", at positions 338 to 795 of the family's 1533-position model. The record is from RNAcentral.